UAAAACUCCAAUCUUGCCUUUUUCCAGCCGAGAUGAUUGACAAGCUGACCUUGACGUUCAACCGCACCCGUCAAGCCGUCAUCACCAAGGAGCUUAUUGAGAUCAUCUCUGGUGCUGCUGCUCUGGAUUAAUCGGGAAAAGCGGUUCAGCCAAAUCCAAGAGGUGAAGAGGAGCUCUUCCGAGCAUAUGUGGUUUAGCCUGCCUGUGUCUGUGUUAACAAGACUGCUCUGUUAUCUUGUGAAGAAGUGGAAAAGCCCCAGAAAUCUGUAAAUUCUUACAAUAAACCACCUCCAUGAAACAGA
Non-coding RNA from Cyanistes caeruleus (blue tit), 302 nucleotides. The record is from RefSeq and is a predicted model, not a curated record. Lineage: Eukaryota; Metazoa; Chordata; Aves; Passeriformes; Paridae.